This is an RNA transcript of Gallus gallus (chicken), 664 nucleotides long. RefSeq lists it as uncharacterized. The record is from RefSeq and is a predicted model, not a curated record. The transcript has 3 exons. Lineage: Eukaryota; Metazoa; Chordata; Aves; Galliformes; Phasianidae.
CCUACAGCCCCCAACCCCACAGCCCCCAACCCCACAGCCCCCAGCCCCACACAUGGCAGCAGAGCAGGGCCGCGGUGACCCCGCUGUGCACCCACCCUCUCCUCGGCAUUGGGACUUCACCCCCUGCCCGGCCCCACUGCUGCCCCACAGCCGACCCACUGCAGCGAAUCCCACUGCGGGGCCCCGUGAGCAGGUACCGGGCGCUCUACGACUACCGACCCCAAAACGGAGAUGAGUUGGAGCUGCGGGACGGAGACCGCCUGGAUGUGCUGCAGUGCUGCGACGAUGGGUGGUUUGUGGGAGUGUCGCAGAGGACGCAGAAGUUCGGAACGUUCCCUGGGAAUUACGUGGCACCGCUGUGACGCCCCCCUCCACCCCACACAUCUGUGGGGCCGAAGCUCCUCCCAGCCCUAUAGGGCCCCGAGCAGCGGCCGAUCCGACCCCCACGGCCUCACUGUGCCCCUUCGCCUCCCCACGCUGCCUUCCUGCCCCACUGCUGUGGGGUCCCACUGCUAUGGGGUCCCACCGCUAUGGCGUCCCACCGCUAUGGGGUCUCCCUGCUAUGGGGUCUCCCUGCUAUGUUGUCCCACUGCUAUGGGGUCUCACCUCUAUGGGGUCCCACAUCCACUUCCGCAUCCCUCAUUAAAGUCAGCUCAGCCCCGGA